AAAAUAAUUAACUUAUUAUUUUAAAUAAAUAAAAACAGUUAUCAAAUUAGAAAAUCCCCCUCAUUCUCCUUCUCAUGCUACAAUCCCCCUCACGAUAACUGUCUCUCUCCCUCUUCUACAUUUCGUCUCCUUCCCGUAACCCAGCCUAUUACCGUCGAUUUUAGCCAUCACUCCAACGAACGACCCUCCUUUGCACUGAUUUUGUCUCUUUCCUGUAACCCAUCACUCCUCUGCAUCGCACCUCCAAUGCGCGAUCGAUUGCGAGCACCAUUGGUUCGGCUUCCAUGUGCACCCAUCACUGCCAAUCUCACCAUCUCCGUCUAAUAUUUCUCUUUCAGAUCACUCAUUGUGUGGUUCUAUCUUACCGCCGCCCAAUUUUAGACCUGCCGUCGACAUCAUCGCUUUCCAGAAUCGGCGUUUUGGGUAAGUUUUUGGUGUCUUGUAUGGGUUUUCUUGGUGAAUCUUAAAUACCUACUGGAUCAACACCAGAUGCCAUUGGAUCCAUGCUAGACGCCCACUGGUCAACCACCAUAUAGCGCCCACCGGUCAGUCCUCCACCGGAUCUGCACCAGUCACCCAGCCUUGCCUCACACCAAAUCUGGCCAGUCCUCACGUCGGAUUCGGUUAGUCCUCCACCAGAUCCGGUCAGUCCUACACCGGAUUUGCUGUACAGUCGUGCUGCCUCUGUCAAGUAAGAGCUUCUUAUAUUUUAUGAGUAUUCUUGUGCCUCUUUUAUUUUUCUUUUUAGGCUAGUUGGUCGAGGCUUGAGUGAAGCGUCGAUUUGAGCAAACACUUCAGGUAAGUGUUUUAGAUGUAUUGGAAUGAAUCUGUGAUUUGGGUUACAUUUUGUAGCAUCUUUUGUAAUGAUUUGCUUGUUUGAAUGUUUGAUGAUGAUAUUGAUUUUGAAGUGUUGGAAGGAGUUGAGUUGCUGUCCAAUAGGUUUGAGAUCGAUCUUGGCAAGGUUUUGAUUUUAAGGGAUUGGAGCCACUGUCCAACAAAGUUAACAAUGUUUGGAUGUUUUGAUAGGUUGGAUUACUUUGUUGUAGUUUUGAAGUGACAUUCGAAUCAAGCCACACUUUGGGUAACCUAUUUGGAGUUAAUCGGUUAUUUUGGUGAAUGAAAUUUUGAAGAAUUGGGCUUCUAAUAUUCUGUAGUUUUUAAUGAAAUUUUGUAGAUAAGAUUGGAUUACUUUGUUGUAGUUUUGAAUAAAAUUUUGUAGAUAAGAUUGAGCUUUCCAUAUUCUCUAUUUUUUAUUGCUUGUAGAUAAGAUAAGUUGUGAAAGUUGUGAAAGUUGCGCGAAAGGUAUCUGCAUUCUUAUAUUUUAAAUUUUAGCAUAUGCUUGAUUUUUUGAUAAUCUUCUUCCUCUUUAUUAUAUUUUCUAAAAUCUCUCCCAUCUUCCUUUGUUUUGCAACAAAAGGUAAUUGUUCCUCCUGAGGCUGGAUAUGGUCAAAAGAGAAUGAAUGAAAUCCCAGUAAGUCACUAACUUUAAUUUGUAGAUAUUUUUUAACUCUCGAGUAUGAUAUUUUUCCAUUGCAUAAACUAAGCCAAUCAUGUACAUUUUUUUCUUGUGCGUGACUUUUUGUCAUUAUUGUAUCUUAACACUUAUUUUUAUAUUUUGAAAUUUGAUGUUAUCACCCUUUAUUUUAUUUUGUAGUUUGACUUGCUUAAACAUGAUAUGUCUGGCCCUUAGUUAUCGAUUUUUAGACUUCAAAGCUCAAUGUAUAGAUUAAAUAAUGUACCUUGUUGAGAGGUUACUUUUAAACAAUUUGUCACUUUUGCAUUUGUUAAAAGUUGAGU
Molecule: long non-coding RNA, 1797 nt
Organism: Benincasa hispida (wax gourd)
Lineage: Eukaryota; Viridiplantae; Streptophyta; Magnoliopsida; Cucurbitales; Cucurbitaceae
Source: RefSeq, a predicted model, not a curated record